This 466-nucleotide ribosomal RNA is filed under the name uncultured bacterium. Its description in RNAcentral is "partial 16S ribosomal RNA". It matches the Rfam family "Bacterial small subunit ribosomal RNA", at positions 28 to 507 of the family's 1533-position model. The record is from RNAcentral.
GAUGAACGCUGGCGGCGUGCUUAACACAUGCAAGUCGAACGAUGAAGCUCAGCUUGCUGGGUGGAUUAGUGGCGAACGGGUGAGUAACACGUGAGUAACCUGCCCUUAACUCUGGGAUAAGCCUGGGAAACUAGGUCUAAUACCGGAUAGGAGCGCCUACCGCAUGGUGGGUGUUGGAAAAAUUUAACGGUUUUGGAUGGACUCGCGGCCUAUCAGCUUGUUGGUGAGGUAAUGGCUCACCAAGGCGACGACGGGUAGCCGGCCUGAGAGGGUGACCGGCCACACUGGGACUGAGACACGGCCCAGACUCCUACGGGAGGCAGCAGUGGGGAAUAUUGCACAAUGGGCGAAAGCCUGAUGCAGCGACGCCGCGUGAGGGAUGACGGCCUUCGGGUUGUAAACCUCUUUCAGUAGGGAAGAAGCGAAAGUGACGGUACCUGCAGAAGAAGCACCGGCUAACUACGUG